AGCAGCCGCGGUAAUUCCAGCUCCAAUAGCGUAUAUUAAAGUUGUUGCAGUUAAAAAGCUCGUAGUUGAAUUUCGGGAUUGGCGCAUCGGUCGUGCCUCACGGGGUAUGAACUGGUGCAGUCAAUUUCUCACCUUCUGGAGAACCGCGAUGUCCUUAAUUGGAUGCCGCGGGGAACCAGGACCUUUACUUUGAAAAAAUUAGAGUGUUUAAAGCAGGCAUUUUUGCUUGAAUACAUUAGCAUGGAAUAAUAAAAUAGGACGGCAUGGUUCUAUUUUGUUGGUUUCUAGGACCACCGUAAUGAUUAAUAGGGAUAGUUGGGGGCAUUAGUAUUCAAUUGUCAGAGGUGAAAUUCUUGGAUUUAUUGAAGACUAACUACUGCGAAAGCAUUUGCCAAGGAUGUUUUCAUUAAUCAAGAACAAAGUUAGGGGAUCGAAGACGAUCAGAUACCGUCGUAGUCUUAACCAUAAACUAUGCCGACUAGGAAUCAGACGAUGUUAAUUUUUAAUGACUCGUUUUGGC
RNAcentral lists this ribosomal RNA (520 nucleotides) under uncultured Entrophospora. RNAcentral's name for it is "SSU rRNA". It matches the Rfam family "Eukaryotic small subunit ribosomal RNA", at positions 569 to 1085 of the family's 1831-position model. The record is from RNAcentral. Lineage: Eukaryota; Fungi; Glomeromycota; Glomeromycetes; Entrophosporales; Entrophosporaceae.